AUAUAGAUCUUUCGAUUUGGGGGGAAAUAGGAACCGAACUUCUAUUUCAUGGAUAUAUGGACCGUGGUAUAAGUUUGGGCUCUAUCUGUUAUGAUGUCAUAGUUCUCGGGGGAAAUAGACUGUUUUCCUCUCGUAUUUGCUAUGUGAUCUUAACUUUGGACUUUUGGUUGGUUUAAUGAUAUUUUCAGGUUGUUUCUGGAAGGACUAAAUAAGUUUGGGAAAGGAGACUGGAAGAACAUAUCGAGGUAUUGUGUGAAGUCAAGGACCUCGACGCAAGUGGCAAGCCAUGCUCAGAAGUAUUUUGCAAGGCAAAAGCAGGAGAGUACGAAUACUAAACGCCCGAGUAUUCAUGACAUGACUCUGGGAGUUGCGGUCAAUGUCCCUGGAUCCAACUUGGAGUCUACUGGCCAGCAACCACAUUUUGGUGAUCAAAUUCCUUCGAAUCAAUAUUAUCCCUCCCAGGAAAACUUUCGGGGUUUUGAUCAGCGAUGGUGAUGGGUGUAUGGCAAACUUAUACUACGCUUAAGUUUUCUAAUGUGAUUUUUAGUUCUAGGGAUUUAGAGUUUUGGUGUUAGAGUGUU
Molecule: small RNA, 581 nt
Filed under: Arabidopsis thaliana (thale cress)
Lineage: Eukaryota; Viridiplantae; Streptophyta; Magnoliopsida; Brassicales; Brassicaceae
Description: ATSL212030
Source: RNAcentral